GUGUCAGCAGCCGCGGUAAUACGUAAGGGGCAAGCGUUGUCCGGAAUCACUGGGCGUAAAGCGCACGUAGGCGGUUUAGCAAGUCAGGGGUGUAAGCUCUAGGCUUAACCUAGAAAUUGCCUCUGAAACUACUUCACUUGAGUAUUAGAGGGGAAGCUGGAAUUCACGGUGUAGCGGUGAAAUGCGUAGAUAUCGUGGAGAACACCCGUGGCGAAGGCGGGCUUCUGGCUAAUUACUGACGCUGAGGUGCGAAAGCUAGGGGAGCGAACGGGAUUAGAAACCCGAGUAGUCC
This 292-nucleotide ribosomal RNA is filed under the name uncultured bacterium. Its description in RNAcentral is "partial 16S ribosomal RNA". It matches the Rfam family "Bacterial small subunit ribosomal RNA", at positions 505 to 796 of the family's 1533-position model. The record is from RNAcentral.